AACAGUUUACAACAGGUCCACAGUUACAACAACACAUGUUUACCCACACUGAGGAGAGACCUUAUAAAUGUGACCUGUGUGAGAAGACUUUUAAAGCUCCACAUCACCUGAGAGGACACCAACAGAUCCACACCAGAAAGAGACUCUACAAGUGCAGUUACUGUGAGAAGCAGAGCGACACAGAUGGAUCCAGUUCUCAACCCUGUCAUCACUGUGGUGGUGGGAAAGACUUUCGUUGUGACCUCUGUGGGAAAACUUUCAGUCAGCAAAAGACCCUAAAAAUACAUCAACGUAGACACACUGGAGACAAACUGAAAUACUGCAAAGAAUGUGGGAGAAGCUUCAGCACAUCAAGUAGAUUAAAACAACAUGAACUCAUUCACAAUGGGGUUAAAAAGUACAUCUGUGAUCAGUGUGGGUCAUCUUUCAUUACUGCAGGUCAUCUUAAAAAGCACAAACGUGUCCACACAGGAGAGAAACCAUACAAGUGCAGACACUGUGACAAAAGCUUCUCAUAUUCAGAUAAUCGUAACAGGCAUGAACGUACACACAUGGAAGGAAACUACAGCUGUGACCAGUGUGACAAGAGCUUCAGGAAUCUCAGUUCAUACUCCGAACACAAACGAUCCCACAUUACUAAUAAACUGUUUCACUGUUACCAAUGUGCCAAAACAUUCACCAAAUUAUCUGCUCUGUGCAAACAUCAGCGUGAUCACUCAGGGCUGAAAUCACUCCCAUCACAGUGAAUCUGAAGAGACAGAAAGAUCCUCUUCUGGUUUGAGGGUCAGACUCAUUUAGCUGUGAAUGAACAUGUUCCACUAGUUACAUUUACUGUCUGUCUGUCUGUCAGUAUAUGUGUGCAUAUGUGUGCAUCUAAACUACAUGUUUAAAACCAAAAUUUUUUUUCAAAUAUUAUGUACAAUUAUAUUAAUGAAGUAUGUGCCA
Neolamprologus brichardi is the source of this 945-nucleotide non-coding RNA. Lineage: Eukaryota; Metazoa; Chordata; Actinopteri; Cichliformes; Cichlidae. The record is from RefSeq and is a predicted model, not a curated record.